ACCAUGGCCUGGGCUCUGCUCCUUGUCACCCUCCUCACUCAGGACACAGGAUCCUGGGCCCAGUCUGGCCUGACUCAGCCUCCCUCAGUGUCCGGGAAUCUGGGACAGACGGUCACCAUCUCUUGUGCUGGAACCAGCAGUGACAUAGGGAAAUAUAACGCUGUCGGCUGGUACCAACAACUCCCAGGCACGGCCCCCAAAACCCUGAUUUACGAUGUCAAUAAACGGCCCUCAGGGAUCCCUGAUCGCUUCUCUGGCUCCAAGUCUGGCAACACGGCCUCGCUGACCAUCUCUGGGCUCCAGGCUGAGGACGAGGCCGAUUAUUACUGUAGCUCGUUUGACCUGCAUCUGAGUGGGCUGAGCCUGGGAGGUUUGGGGACACAGUCUGGGUCUCAGCUUUGUCCCCUCUCCUGGCACUGGUGA
This is a non-coding RNA of Globicephala melas (long-finned pilot whale), 423 nucleotides long. The record is from the annotation of a RefSeq genome assembly. NCBI's taxonomy places the organism in Eukaryota, Metazoa, Chordata, Mammalia, Artiodactyla, Delphinidae.